Molecule: long non-coding RNA, 1769 nt
Organism: Varanus komodoensis (Komodo dragon)
Lineage: Eukaryota; Metazoa; Chordata; Lepidosauria; Squamata; Varanidae
Exons: 3
Source: RefSeq, a predicted model, not a curated record
GAGCGUGAGCCGCUCGCCCACCGGCCCUCUCCUGUCCCAGGUCGGGCCGCCGAAACCAGGAGGCCCACAACUCCCAGCACGUCCCCCUAGGAGUCACGGGUCUUUCUGUUUUUGCUGCCUAAACCGGUACAGGAGGACACCGCCUCUUCUCUCUCACCUUUCUCUACCUGAGCCCUUUCGAACUGCAAUCCCAGCCUGGUCUCCCCACCCCUCCCAUUGUAAGACUCAACUCCCAGAAUGCCCCAGCCAAUAUGAGCGCCUGGGAAUUGCAGUCACGCAACCCUGCAGAGUUUCAGGUCAGGAAAGCAAGCAAAUAACAUUUAUCUGGGAGCGAGUUCUAUUUAACAAAAUGAGAUUCACUUCUGAGUAGAUACGCCCAGGAUUGCAGCAUGUGGGAAUACAAGGCCUCUGCAUCAUUCUCGAGGAGGAAGAAAGGAAAGAGUGCAGGGUGGGCAGAACAAUACCCGAAGAGUAUAUAAUAACCAAAUAUUUCUUGCUUCUGUGUCACCCUUCUUUGGGCUAAGAAAGCUGACAGGAAGAAAAUGGGUGUUGGGGGAAUGCUUUGCAAGCACCUUGGACUGCCAGAAGGACACACAAAUGGAUUGUAAAUCAAAUCAAGCCAGAACUUUUCCUGAAAACAAAAAUAAAUGAAACUGAACCUGCUGUACUUUGGGCACAUCAUAAGAAGGCAAAACUCAUUGGAAAAGGUAAUGCUAGAGAAAGUAGAAGUUAGAAGAAGAAAAAGAUGGAUUGACUCCAUAAAGGAAGUCACAGCCACAAGUUUAUAAAAGCUGAGCAGGGCUGUUAAGAACAGGACAUUCUGGAAGGUUGCUGAAAGUCAGAGAUGACUUGGUGGCACGUAACAACACCGGACAUGACUUCAGUUUUUCCUUUUCAAUUCAGCUGCCUGUCCUUCCCCAUUUUCUGUGAAUCCUCUGUGCUUUUCAGAAAAUGCAUGCAUCUGUAUGUUUUGCAAUGAAUGCGUCUAUUAUAUAGAACAGUGGAAGAAGGCCGUAUAUUUCCUAUAAAUUAGCAUUCAUCUGUAACCUAAUAGGUUUUCUUGGAUUUCUGCUUAAGGACUGACAGUUUUAAAAAGCUGCUAUUUCUGGAAUUAGCAAUAAUCUCUGUUCUCUAACUGGGACUACUUAAUUGCUCUAGAAUCAUUUAUUUAAAAAGGUCAAAUACACAUAGCUGUAGAGUGCUGAUUCCUUCAAGGCAACAGUCCUAUUUUCUGGAAUUUCUCACCAGUAUGCCAUGGGGUGGGAAGAAGGAUCUAUCUUGUGAGAUAAGAAUGAAUGCUGGAAUUCUUGCUGUGGUGGGGAAGGUAAGAUAUUUCCUCCUAUAGAGAUGAGGCAAAACAACCCUAUGAAUAGCACCUAAGAAACACAACUCAACUUUUUCCCACAGAAACAAUAGUUAAGGUCAUCAAGAAGCAAUCAAGCACCACUCCAACAAUUUGCCUAAAUCUGGGAAACUCACUUUUCCUAUAAACACACCCACAGAGAGGUAUAGUCUAAAGAUCAGACACUUAGGAUGCAGAGUUGAACAUGCUUUGAACAUAACUGGAAGAGAGAGGCCAGCUCUGGACACAGGCCUGUGGAUGGCUUCUUGCCCAUACAGUACAUUGCCAUACAGGCAAUGGAUCUCCCCACCCCCGCUGCCUGCUCCAGCUUGUUAGCAUCUUUCUCUGCCAGACAGAUAGUUCUUUAUAUCUUUAGAAACAUACAGCAAGAUCGGGGUACAAUAGGAAUAUUUGCUACCUAGAUAAC